RNAcentral lists this unclassified non-coding RNA (328 nucleotides) under fungal sp. RNAcentral describes it as "partial internal transcribed spacer region". The stretch from base 1 to 46 matches the Rfam family "Eukaryotic small subunit ribosomal RNA", at positions 1786 to 1831 of the family's 1831-position model. The record is from RNAcentral. Lineage: Eukaryota; Fungi.
AAGUCGUAACAAGGUAUCCGUAGGUGAACCUGCGGAUGGAUCAUUAUCAAAACGUUAUCCACGUAUAAACCAAUCUUAGUUGAACCGUUUGUAUGCCUUUGAGGAUGAGUAAGAAAGGGUCAUUCGUGGCUCCGGUAUUACUUGGAAUCGAAGCGUAUCAUUACUUCAUAUACUAUUAACCAAUUGAACCAUUUCUAUUUGAAAUUGUUUUUAUAUUCUUUGUGUGAACUGAAUUGUUUCUUACUCUUCACUUCGGUGGAUAGAAGAAAUUUAUUUACGAAACAAAAAGUAAAAAGAACAACUCUUAGCAACGGAUAUCUUGGUUCUC